GUAAGUUUACUUAUGAGGUGGCGAGCGGCGGACGGGUGAGUAAUGCCUAGGGAUCUGCCCAGUCGAGGGGGAUAACAGUUGGAAACGACUGCUAAUACCGCAUACGCCCUACGGGGGAAAGAGGGGGACCUUCGGGCCUCUCGCGAUUGGAUGAACCUAGGUGGGAUUAGCUAGUUGGUGAGGUAAUGGCUCACCAAGGC
Molecule: ribosomal RNA, 200 nt
Filed under: Shewanella sp. faro5_41B
Lineage: Bacteria; Pseudomonadati; Pseudomonadota; Gammaproteobacteria; Alteromonadales; Shewanellaceae
Description: partial 16S ribosomal RNA
Rfam family: Bacterial small subunit ribosomal RNA
Source: RNAcentral